AGGACCAGCGCCAGCCACCAGCAGCUCACCCGGUUUUGAUAUAAGAUUUAGUGACAGUGAAAAAUCAUCUCCUCUCAUGAUUCAGAGGCAAAAAAUCUUUCGUGUAAUCGUUUGCCACACGAUACGCCGUCAGCAUAUGUACCAUGCCAAGUAGGAGCCCAAAAAAAGUCUAGAGAGCUUUACAAUACGAUUCAACCGAUAGCAGUGUAAAAAAUGAUUCGGAGGAAUUAGCUCGAGACUGGUUUGUGAAGUUUUGAAUUCAAGUUGCAUUACUGGAAAGGUACAUAUACCACGACCUGGCAACCCUUUAUGGUUACGAGCAAAGAUGGUGAAAUACCUUGGACAGACACUCUUCUAAAAGAUUCAGUCAUUCUCUGCUCGUUCGAACUUGACGAUAACAGCCAUCUCCAAGAAAAUACCAGAAAAUAUUUAAAACGGUGGUAUCGGGAGGAAGCUAAAAGGGCUAAGGGUCUGGAUUAAUUUAAAAAACAAAAUAUUUUCAACGCUUGUACCUAUAAUUAUACAGACGCAAGAUGCUAAAUUUUUAAGUGCAGAACCAUUGGAGAAUAUUACCCUCAAUAUCAUUAUCGCAUGCUAACUAAAAUGUAUGCCAACAUUCAAAUGACUCAUUUAUUUUCAGGAAUAAUCACUGAUAUGAAUAAUAAAAACUCCCUAAGUAUGGACUGCAUUGUUUUGAGCUUUUAUAUUAACCCAUUAACCCAUUGUAGAUACAGUGCACUACGUUACUCGGGCACCCCUAUAUGUCUCUCACGUUGAGAUAUAGCUAGGGGUUUCCGAAAUUCGGACACCCCUAUUUGUCUCUCGCAUUGUUAUAUAGGGGGUUUCCGUAAUUCGGACACCCCUAUUCUCU
This 871-nucleotide long non-coding RNA is filed under the name Dendronephthya gigantea. RNAcentral describes it as "uncharacterized LOC114526029". The record is from RNAcentral. Lineage: Eukaryota; Metazoa; Cnidaria; Anthozoa; Malacalcyonacea; Nephtheidae.